RNAcentral lists this ribosomal RNA (460 nucleotides) under uncultured bacterium. Its description in RNAcentral is "partial 16S ribosomal RNA". It matches the Rfam family "Bacterial small subunit ribosomal RNA", at positions 338 to 795 of the family's 1533-position model. The record is from RNAcentral.
CCUACGAGGGGCAGCAGUGAGGAAUAUUGGUCAAUGGGCGCGAGCCUGAACCAGCCAAGUAGCGUGAAGGAUGACUGCCCUACGGGUUGUAAACUUCUUUUAUAAAGGAAUAAAGUGAGGCACGUGUGCCUUUUUGUAUGUACUUUAUGAAUAAGGAUCGGCUAACUCCGUGCCAGCAGCCGCGGUAAUACGGAGGAUCCGAGCGUUAUCCGGAUUUAUUGGGUUUAAAGGGAGCGUAGAUGGGUUGUUAAGUCAGUUGUGAAAGUUUGCGGCUCAACCGUAAAAUUGCAAUUGAUACUGGCAGCCUUGAGUACAGUUGAGGUAGGCGGAAUUCGUGGUGUAGCGGUGAGAUGCUUAGAUUUCACGAAGGACUCCGAUUGCGAAGGCAGCUUACUAAGCUGCCACUGACAUUGAUGCUCGAAAGUGUGGGUAUCAAAGAGGAUUGGAUACCCCAGUAGUC